GCGCUGCCUGAUUGGCCGGUGGAAGAAGCGCCGCCUGAUUGGCCGGUGGAAGAAGCGCCGCCUGAUUGGCCGGUGGAAGAAGCGCUGCCUGAUUGGCCGGUGGAAGAAGCGCUGCCUGAUUGGCCGGUGAAACGUUGCUGCUCGCUCUUGUCAAGACAUCCUGAGGAGACGAGCGUAAGCAAUGAAUGAUCAAAUACCACCUUCAGGAGGAGCAGGGUGACGCUUACGUGUACGCCUCCACAGAUCGCUCCACCUGCCCUGAUGUGAAGUUUUGCUACAGAUUAUACUGCACCAUUUUUGAGAGGGCUUAUGGAGCAUCUUCUGGGGAUGGCAUGUUGCGCAACCUACAGGAACGUGUCGAUGCCGACAACA
This is a long non-coding RNA of Lampris incognitus (smalleye Pacific opah), 372 nucleotides long. RefSeq lists it as uncharacterized. NCBI's taxonomy places the organism in Eukaryota, Metazoa, Chordata, Actinopteri, Lampriformes, Lampridae. The record is from RefSeq and is a predicted model, not a curated record. The transcript has 3 exons.